This 253-nucleotide ribosomal RNA is filed under the name uncultured bacterium. RNAcentral's name for it is "partial 16S ribosomal RNA". It matches the Rfam family "Bacterial small subunit ribosomal RNA", at positions 524 to 776 of the family's 1533-position model. The record is from RNAcentral.
UACAGAGGGGGCAAGCGUUGUCCGGAAUUACUGGGCGUACAGCGCGCGCAGGCGGUUGCCGACGUGCCGUGUGACAAGCGGGGGCUCAACCCCCGAGGGCCACGGUAAACGGGGCGACUGGAGGGAGGGAGAGGGAUGUGGAAUGCCCGGUGGAGCGGUGAAAUGCGUAGAUAUCUGGAGGAACACCGGUGGCGAAGGCGGCGUCCUGGACCAACACUGACACUGAUGAGCGAAAGCCAGGGGAGCAAACGGG